CUGGAACUGGACCCAUUUGGCUGAAUGAGGUGGAGUGUGAGGGGAACGAGGCGUCUCUGUGGAACUGCAGAUAUCAGCUGUGUGGAGAGGAUGAAUGUGGACACAAGGAUGAUGUAGGAGUCGUCUGCUCAGAGUAUAAAGAGAUCAGACUGACUGAGGGCUGUGAGGGGAAUCUGGAGGUGUUCUAUAAUGGACCCUGGGGGGAAUGUGUGUAACAAUGGGAUGGAUGUAGAAACAAUGGGUCUCAUCUGUCGGGAGCUGAACUGUGGAAGAUUUAAGACUGAGAGAGCUACCAAAGCACGAGUGGAAUCAGCUCCUAACAGGCUGGAUGAUGUAAAAUGUAGGAAACAUGACUCUACUCUGUUUCACUGUCCAUCUUCAUCCUGGAGUCAGAACAAUUGUGAUAGAAGCAGUGAGGUGACUCACAUUACCUGCUCCGGAGAGAAGAAACAGCUUGCAUUUGAAAACCUUCAAAAAUUCUUCUUAUUUCCAAACCAGGGUCAGUGCUCAAAUUACAUGCCUAUUAGGUUGAGAGGAGGAGAGGAAAUCUGUUCUGGGAGGUUGGAGGUGUAUCAUAAUGCUGAGUGGGGGUCUAUAUGUGCUGAUCUGUGGGACAUCAGGGAUGCUCAGGUGGUCUGCAGGCAGCUGGGUUGUGGGCCGGCGCUGAGUGCUAAUAGAAGAGCUGUUGAUGGUUCUGGUGGAGGAACUAUCUGGAUGAACAGAGUGAAGUGUAGAGGGAAUGAGAUUCACCUGUGGGACUGUCCUCAUUCCCUGAAGAUCCACACUGGCUGCUCCCACAGUGCUGGAGUCACCUGUGCAGACAUAUUUGUCACAUUACCUUUUUCAUCUGAAACAACUACAACUUACACCACAGUACCAGCACAGCUAACAGAGAAAAAGACAGUCCCUCCUUCAAAAAAUCCAUCAUCUAAUUUUCCAUACAUCUAUCCAGUGUCUCUCCUGGUUCUGGGAUCUGUGCUCUUCCUGGCCUUAGUGCUUCUGGUUGUGCUGUUUUAUCAGAACAGAGUGCUCAGGAGAGUGAUUUCUAAGGCGAGGAGGAAGACUCUGCUUGAGGCAGUCUAUGAAGAGAUUAACCAUAAAUGUGUCACUAACAGAUAUACUAAAAGAGGAAGUUUUAUCUCUGAAGAUCAGCAUUCAGGAUAUGAGGACGUAGAUGAGGAGCUUCUCUCAGAAAACUAUGGCGAGGUCUAUGAUGAUAUCAUACCUGCUGAAGAGAGCCCACACAUUACAACAGACAGUGUGAGGUUGGUGGAUGGUGGGAGCCGCUGUGCUGGGAGAGUGGAAGUUCUUCAUAGAGGACAUUGGGGAACAGUGUGUGAUGAUUACUGGGAUAUGAGAGAUGCUGCAGUGGUGUGUAGAGAGCUGGGCUGUGGGGAAGCCAUAGAUGCACCACGGAGAGCUCGCUUUGGAUCAGGAUCAGGACCGAUCUGGGUGGAAUAUGCUAACUGUGCUGGAUCAGAGUCUUCACUGAAGAACUGUAGGUUGUAUGAUUGGGGUAGACAGAGAUGUAAUCAUGAUGAAGACGCUGGUGCUGUUUGUGCAGAAGUCAGACUGGUGGGCAGAUCUCGCUGCUCAGGGAGAGUGGAGGUUCUUCAUGGAGAGAGCUGGGUCACAGUGUGUGAUGCUGACUUUGACCAGCAGGGUGCAGAGGUUGUGUGUCGAGAGCUGGGCUGUGGUUCUCCUGUGGAGGUUCUGGGAGCAGCUGCUUUUGGUAGAGCAGAGGGUCAGAUGUGGUCAGAGGAGCUUCAGUGUAGAGGAAACGAAUCUCAUAUGUACCUCUGCCAGACAUCUCCUUCCUUGAAACCCAACUGCUCUCACAACAAGGAUGUGGGACUAAGAUGCUCUGGUCACACUCAGGCUCGGCUGAUGAACGGCUCAGAUUCAUGUUCUGGUCGAGUGGAGCUCCAGUACCUCAGUGAGUGGGGUACAGUGUGUGAUGUAAGCUGGGAUAUGAGAGCUGCCAGUGUCCUCUGUGCUCAGCUGAAGUGUGGGAGUUCUGUGGCUGUGUUGGGGUCAGACUGGUUUGGGGAGGGGAGUGGCCGGAUCUGGUCUGAUGUGUUUGAUUGUCAGGGAAACGAAACACACCUGUUAAAGUGUCCCAUUUCAUCAUGGAGUCGAACUGCAUGCUCUCAUGAACAGGAUGCUGGAGUUAUCUGUAGUGGUUCUUCUCUGGCGUCUCAUGAGGGAGGAGUGCGGUUGUCUGGAGGGAUGGAGUGUGAGGGGGAGGUGGAGGUGUUCUUCAGGCAGGACUGGAGGAGAGUUCUGCUGGACUCCUGGAGUGAGUCUGAGGCCUCUGUGGUCUGCAGACAGCUGGGCUGUGGUUCUGUACUCAACACCUCCAGCUCCUCUUCAUCCAGUCCUGAACACAGCUACAUGUGUGUGACGGGUUUCAACUGCUCUGGGAGUGAAGCUCAUCUGAGGAACUGCAGCAGCUCACAAGCAGUUAACUGCAGCUCCACAGUACAGCUCUACAUCACCUGCUCUGGCUACAGCUCCAUCAGGCUGGUUGGUUCUGGGGGAGACUGUGCAGGAAGGCUGGAGGUUUUCCACAGUGGAUCAUGGGGGACAGUGAGUGAUGAAUUGUGGGAUAUUGAGGAUGCGCAGGUGGUCUGCAGACAGCUGCAGUGUGGAGUCGCCCUCAGUGCUCCAGUACCAGUACCAGCCCGGUUUGGAUCUGGAACUGGACCCAUUUGGCUGAAUGAGGUGGAGUGUGAGGGGAACGAGGUGUCUCUGUGGAACUGCAGAUAUCAGCUGUGUGGAGAGGAUGAAUGUGGACACAAGGAUGAUGUAGGAGUCGUCUGCUCAGAGAAUGGAAAUACACUAGAUUUGACAAAUUGGCUGUGUGAUUCAUCUCCUCAUGAGAGACCGUGCUCAAAGCACAUUCCUCUGAGGCUGAGGGGAGGAGUAGGAAGCUGUUCUGGAUGGCUGCAGGUGUAUCAUAAUAAAACAUGGGGGUCUGUAUGUGGUGACCUCUGGGACAUCAGGGAUGCUCAGGUGAUCUGCAGGCAGCUGGGUUGUGGGCCGGCGCUGAGUGCUAAUAGAAGAGCUGCUGAUGGUUCUGGUGGAGGAACUAUCUGGAUGAACAGAGUGAAGUGUAGAGGGAAUGAGAUUCACCUGUGGGACUGUCCUCAUUCCCUGAAGAACCACACUGACUGCUCCCACAGUGCUGGAGUCACUUGUGGAGAUUCUCAACCACAGACAAGAAGAAUCAUACUUCCACAAACUCCUCCACCAGCUGUUCCCUCCAUCUAUCCAGUGUCUCUCCUGGUUCUGGGAUAUGUGCUCUUCCUGGCCUUAGUGCUUCUGGUUGUGCUGUUUUAUCAGAACAGAGUGCUCAGGAGAGUGAUCUCUAAGAGGAGGAAGACUUCAGCUGAGCCUGUCUAUGAGGAGAUUGACACCAGGCUCAUCCCUAAAAGAAUUACUGUCUCAACUGAAAGGUGGUGAGCUUCCUGAGGGCUUUGAGGAUAGUUAUCCUGGUGCGUGUCUUUCGUCUGGCCUCUCAGAAGAAAGAUCUGGAGAAGGUCACUACAAGAAAGGUAUCUGAGAACAAAAGGCGGUAACAAAAAGGAUGGAUUUGAUUUGGAUCUCACCUAUGUCACAGGCACUCUACAGAAAUCCCAUAAAAGAAGCUGCCAUAUUUCUGGACACAAAGCAUCCCGAUCAUUACAGAGUUUACAAUCUCUGCAGUCAAAAAGGCUACGAUCCACUGUUCUUCCAUUACAGAGUGCAACGAGUGAUGAUUGACGACCAUAACGUACCGACAUUAGACCAACCCACUCGUUAGGACUCCCCCUAUCACUAGUAAUGCCCCAACACACCAGGAGGAUGAAGACUAGCACACUCUUUCUCCGAUACAUGUGAAGUCAGCCACCGCUUCUUUUCGAGCUGCUGCUGAUGCAGCAUUGCCAAGCAGCCAGCACAUUUGGAGGAAAGCGCAGCGGUAGGUGAACCCAAGGAACCUGAGGAAAGUGGUGGGAAAUCUCGAGCCAGGUCAGACCUUGGGUUGGGUUUGGGCAGAGAACCUAAGCUCUUAUUCACAUAUUGAACUUUGUGUUAUUGUGUUCUCAGUGACAUGUUGAACUACACUGCCAGUUUGAGGGAAUGUCAUUGCCAUCCACUGCAAAGGAGGCAAAGGUGUGGGAAAGGGCAAUGGCAGUGAUCUGAAGGUGCGGAUCAUAGUGAAAAGAGAGCAGGUGUUCCAGUGUGUCUGUGCCACGCAGACGAACUGUAGGCUGUUCCCAGAUACUGAAAACAAUGCCGUGGUGAUCAGCUUUCAGGAAGGGCCAGUGGUUUGUGGUGAUGUUAAGGUCAUGUUUGAAUCCAGGGCUGGUCUUCCAAAGGGGUAUGAGGACUAUCCUUUCUAUUUCUGGUUCAACACUUCAUUUGUAGAGAACAACAGGCUCUAUCUGUCAAGGGAGGAACUGGACAACCCACGUAAGUCCAAAACCUGGGACAUCUACAAGGAGGACUUUGGUGUGACCGUGUCUUUCAGUGACCCUGCACUUAUGUAGCAGACGACACUUGCUUGUGUAUCUCAACCCUUAAGC
Astyanax mexicanus (Mexican tetra) is the source of this 4568-nucleotide RNA transcript. It is a transcript of the gene named scavenger receptor cysteine-rich type 1 protein M130-like, with no coding region annotated. NCBI's taxonomy places the organism in Eukaryota, Metazoa, Chordata, Actinopteri, Characiformes, Acestrorhamphidae. The transcript is spliced from 31 exons. The record is from RefSeq and is a predicted model, not a curated record.